AUUGAACGCUGGCGGCAGGCCUAACACAUGCAAGUCGAGCGGAUGAAGGGAGCUUGCUCCUGGAUUCAGCGGCGGACGGGUGAGUAAUGCCUAGGAAUCUGCCUGGUAGUGGGGGAUAACGUCCGGAAACGGGCGCUAAUACCGCAUACGUCCUGAGGGAGAAAGUGGGGGAUCUUCGGACCUCACGCUAUCAGAUGAGCCUAGGUCGGAUUAGCUAGUUGGUGGGGUAAAGGCCUACCAAGGCGACGAUCCGUAACUGGUCUGAGAGGAUGAUCAGUCACACUGGAACUGAGACACGGUCCAGACUCCUACGGGAGGCAGCAGUGGGGAAUAUUGGACAAUGGGCGAAAGCAUGAUCCAGACAUGCCGCGUGUGUGAAGAAGGUCUUCGGAUUGUAAAGCACUUUAAGUUGGGAGGAAGGGCAGUAAGUUAAUACCUUGCUGUUUUGACGUUACCAACAGAAUAAGCACCGGCUAACUUCGUG
Molecule: ribosomal RNA, 484 nt
Filed under: uncultured bacterium
Lineage: Bacteria
Description: partial 16S ribosomal RNA
Rfam family: Bacterial small subunit ribosomal RNA
Source: RNAcentral